Molecule: long non-coding RNA, 590 nt
Organism: Cyclopterus lumpus (lumpfish)
Lineage: Eukaryota; Metazoa; Chordata; Actinopteri; Perciformes; Cyclopteridae
Exons: 4
Source: RefSeq, a predicted model, not a curated record
CCGCACCGACAACAACUCUUGCGCCAACAACAACUCCCAUGCCGACAACAACUUCGGCACCUACAACAACUCCGGCGGCGACAACUGCAGCGCCGACAACGGCGACAAUUCCGGCAACCACAACAACUAUUGAAGCUCCCGCUACAGUUGUGAUCCUUGCAACAAACUUGAAUGAACCCUUUGUAGAAGAACUCACCGAUAAAAACAGCCCGCAAUUCAUUAAGCUUCAGGGAAGAGUCGUAGCUGUGUAUGAUGACAUCUACAGAGAAGAAUAUGCCGAUCUUUACAAAAGCUCUUUUGUGAUUGAGUUCAGCCGAGCUACCACCACAACACGAGCGGGUCCGACUACUGCAAGGGUUGGGAUUGUGUUCGCUCAAACUAAUUCGACUCAAGAAAUCCCAAAGGCCGCAGAUGUUGCAAAAACCUUAGUAGAUGCUGUGUCUAAGCCGAACAGUACCUUCAACAUCACUGUUGAUGCCACGUCCGUCACUGUACUUCAAACAACUACAUUAAAUUCGACAACUGCAUCCCCCACCAUUGCUGCAACUACAGCUGCCAGUGCUGCAACUACAGCUGCCAGUGUUGCAACU